This 408-nucleotide transfer-messenger RNA is filed under the name Candidatus Omnitrophota. RNAcentral describes it as "JAJYOP01 sp023228195 Standard tmRNA". It matches the Rfam family "transfer-messenger RNA". From Rfam's summary of the family: Bacterial tmRNA, also known as 10Sa RNA or SsrA, is named for its dual tRNA and mRNA-like properties. Its role is to liberate the mRNA from a stalled ribosome. To accomplish this part of the tmRNA is used as a reading frame that ends in a translation stop signal. RNAcentral also lists the same sequence under 1 other name. Lineage: Bacteria; Pseudomonadati. The record is from RNAcentral.
GGGGGUGAAAAGGCCUCGACCUAUAGAUGAGGUGAAGGGUUGCAUGUCGUGCGGGUAAGCCCCCUACGUUAGUGAGGGUUUACAAAAAUUUAAACGCAACACCACAAUUUGCUGGUGUAGGCAGCGCAUUAGCUGCCCCUGUUAGAGCGCCAUACGUGGGUUUAUCCCCCGUAGGGGUACACUAAUACGGACUUCUAUGCUUUUCGUCUCAAGAGGCAUAGGGGGUCAUUUUUGAGACUAAGGGCAAGCUUUUUACUUUGGGGGUUUGCUUCGAAAAUUUACAAGGUUGCCCCUGGGUAUAUCCUUUCCUUCGGAGCUAUUUAGGGUAAGAUAAAAGAAGGAAAAAACAUGUAGGAGCUCUUUAUUAACCCUGUAGGGACGCGGGUUCGACUCCCGCCACCUCCACCA